GAUGAACGCUGGCGGCGUGCCUAAUACAUGCAAGUCGAGCGAACGGACGAGAAGCUUGCUUUUCUGAUGUUAGCGGCGGACGGGUGAGUAACACGUGGAUAACCUACCUAUAAGACUGGGAUAACUUCGGGAAACCGGAGCUAAUACCGGAUAAUAUUUUGAACCGCAUGGUUCAAAAGUGAAAGACGGUCUUGCUGUCACUUAUAGAUGGAUCCGCGCUGCAUUAGCUAGUUGGUAAGGUAACGGCUUACCAAGGCAACGAUGCAUAGCCGACCUGAGAGGGUGAUCGGCCACACUGGAACUGAGACACGGUCCAGACUCCUACGGGAGGCAGCAGUAGGGAAUCUUCCGCAAUGGGCGAAAGCCUGACGGAGCAACGCCGCGUGAGUGAUGAAGGUCUUCGGAUAGUAAAACUCUGUUAUUAGGGAAGAACAUAUGUGUAAGUAACUGUGCAAAUCUUGAAGGUACCUAAUCAGAAAGCCACGGCUAACUACGUG
Molecule: ribosomal RNA, 497 nt
Filed under: uncultured bacterium
Lineage: Bacteria
Description: partial 16S ribosomal RNA
Rfam family: Bacterial small subunit ribosomal RNA
Source: RNAcentral